AGCUUUGCUCAGCAGCAGUAUUGUAGCCAAUGAUGUUCAUUUGAGGCAUGAUUACUCCUAAUUGAAAACUUUUCCCAAGCAAGUGUCUUGUCUGGGCUGAUGACUUCAGCCUCAUGUCAAAGUCUUGGGUGUCAGAGAUUAGG
Fukomys damarensis (Damara mole-rat) is the source of this 143-nucleotide small nuclear RNA. Its record names the gene U4. It matches the Rfam family "U4 spliceosomal RNA". Rfam says of the family: U4 small nuclear RNA (U4 snRNA) is a component of the major U2-dependent spliceosome. The structure of U4 snRNA from yeast and human has been reported. U4 snRNA presents a k-turn RNA motif in the 5p-SL related to recognition of Snu13 protein. Lineage: Eukaryota; Metazoa; Chordata; Mammalia; Rodentia; Bathyergidae. The record is from Ensembl.